RNAcentral lists this ribosomal RNA (412 nucleotides) under Alternaria alternata. RNAcentral's name for it is "eukaryotic LSU rRNA". It matches the Rfam family "Eukaryotic large subunit ribosomal RNA", at positions 1 to 410 of the family's 3401-position model. The record is from RNAcentral. Lineage: Eukaryota; Fungi; Ascomycota; Dothideomycetes; Pleosporales; Pleosporaceae.
UGACCUCGGAUCAGGUAGGGAUACCCGCUGAACUUAAGCAUAUCAAUAAGCGGAGGAAAAGAAACCAACAGGGAUUGCCCUAGUAACGGCGAGUGAAGCGGCAACAGCUCAAAUUUGAAAUCUGGCUCUUUUAGAGUCCGAGUUGUAAUUUGCAGAGGGCGCUUUGGCUUUGGCAGCGGUCCAAGUUCCUUGGAACAGGACGUCACAGAGGGUGAGAAUCCCGUACGUGGUCGCUGGCUAUUGCCGUGUAAAGCCCCUUCGACGAGUCGAGUUGUUUGGGAAUGCAGCUCUAAAUGGGAGGUACAUUUCUUCUAAAGCUAAAUAUUGGCCAGAGACCGAUAGCGCACAAGUAGAGUGAUCGAAAGAUGAAAAGCACUUUGGAAAGAGAGUCAAACAGCACGUGAAAUUGUUG